AGGACGAACGCUGGCGGCGUGCUUAACACACGCAAGUCGAACGGAAAGGCCCUUCGGGGUACUCGAGUGGCGAACGGGUGAGUAACACGUGAGCAAUCUGCCCCUAGCUCUGGGAUAGCUCCGGGAAACCGGGAUUAAUACCAGAUACGACCACUUUAGACAUCUGUCGUGGUGGAAAGGAUUCCGGCUAGGGAUGGGCUCGCGGCCUAUCAGCUUGUUGGUGGGGUAACGGCCUACCAAGGCGACGACGGGUAGCCGGCCUGAGAGGGCGACCGGCCACACUGGGACUGAGACACGGCCCAGACUCCUACGGGAGGCAGCAGUGGGGAUAUUGCGCAAUGGGCGAAAGCCUGACGCAGCGACGCCGCGUGGGGGAUGAAGGCCUCGGGUUGUAACCCCUUUCAGCAGGGACGAAGCGAAAGUGACGGUACCUGCAGAAGAAGCGCCGGCUAACUACGCGCCAGCAGCCGC
Molecule: ribosomal RNA, 471 nt
Filed under: uncultured bacterium
Lineage: Bacteria
Description: SSU rRNA
Rfam family: Bacterial small subunit ribosomal RNA
Source: RNAcentral